This is a long non-coding RNA of Taeniopygia guttata (zebra finch), 2165 nucleotides long. The record is from Ensembl. NCBI's taxonomy places the organism in Eukaryota, Metazoa, Chordata, Aves, Passeriformes, Estrildidae.
CAAUUGCUAUAGCAACUCUAAUGAAAUCUCACUCUCUAAAUAGCCACGGCAAUUUUAUCAGCUUAAACAAAAUGUAGGAAUUUUUUUUUUAAAUAAUGCGUGUAGUCCACUAAUGUUUUUGGAAAGACAAACCCUCUGGAGAAACAAGACAAAGCCUGUAUCGUGUUCCUGUGAUGUUCCUGCUGACUGACCUGAGGAUUUGGAGCAAGGCACUGAAAAUUCACCAUCAUUACAAUCCAGCACGGCUCAUUCAGUAAAAGCACAUUUCAGGAAAUCUGACAUUACUACCAAGGAAGUAUUGUCCACCAUGCAGGCUGAGCUGGUUCUUGCAAUCCUUUCACCUGCAGAAAGCCCCAGAUCCCUUUCCCAACCUGGAGGACUGAUGGCUUCAUUCUGCAAGGGCUGAUGCUGGAAAGAAGGGAGGAAAUUACUGCAAAGCACCCAAUCACCAAUCUGAACCACUAGGCUGGAUACUGCUCCUCCAGGUGUAUUCUCCUCUUUCUAACCAGAAAAUCCACUGCAAACCUCUGGGUCUGAGCAUCCCUGAUCCCCUGGAGCUGGGGUUUUCCGAGUCAUUAUGACAAAUGGCUCACGCUGAUGUCACUCAUUUCCCCAAGGAUCUCUCAGCUCUCCAGCCAGCAUGUAGCAAACUGCAAACAGUAUUUCAAAAUGAAAAAUCGCAGGUGUUUUCUGGAUGCCAUCCAAAGGAAGGAGCAUGGAUUUCAGGCAGAAAUCAAAUCAGACCACACGGAAAGAUCUCCCUGAACACUCCAGACAGUCAACAGAUGGUAGCUGUGACAUUACGAGUCAACCUGCACACCUGGGAAACCACAGCCAGGAGCUGCAGAAGUGUACAUUUAUAAAAUCUUUUAAUAAGGAAGAGCUGAAACAGCAGAAAUGCCUCGCCAUAGACUUUGGUACUGUAGGAGAAAUAAAGAAUAUUUUCUGCUUCGUGCCAUGUCCUGCCUGCUAAAUGUAAUGAUAAUCCAUACCAUCAUACCAUAUACCAUCUUUGGAGACCCACUUGAUUAUCUAUCUAUCUAUCUAUCUAUCUAUCUAUCUAUCUAUCUAUCUAUCUAUCAUCUAUCUAGCUAGCUAGCUACCAUCCAUCAUCCAUCCAUCUACCUAUCUAUCCUAUUAUUAAACUACAGUAAUGGCUUUUGCUGGAGUCUACCAGAGGAGCAUCCUGGAAUGAAUCUUUUGAGGUUAUGUUAGCUGUAGUUAACAUUUGCAUUGUCUUUACCUGUUUAUUCCAUUCUGUACUUGCUUUGUUCCAGAUGUUGGGGAAGUCCUGUAUCUUCUCCUUAUCCCUCUCCCCAUCUGACAACCACAUUAAUAUAUCCUUAGCAAGAUUCUUACAUCUUUGGUUAAGCCUGCUGGAUAAAUAUAAUUUAUGUAGCCUUCACUGACACUAUCUAUUUCUGAUGAUGGAGAAAUGAAUAAUGCAGUUAUGAGAGGAGCUUACUCAUGGGUUACCUGUAACUCUGCGUGAGUGCAUAAAUGCUAUUCUGUUGGUGGACCCAGGGCUGACAUAAACAAAAAUUUCCAAAACUGAAUAUUUGGGUGUUUGGGUUGAUGCUUGCUGAUUAUCCAGCUUCCUUUCACAACCAAAAUGUAGCUGCUCAUGAAAACCACAUGAAAAUCUGAAAAUGUAUAUAUAAAAUGGCAGAUACAUGGAAGGUUUCUAUUAGGAAAAAAAAAAAGAAUAAAUAUUAUUUGAGUAAGGAUUAUAUAUUGAGAAACAACACUUCCCCUUUGUUGCAUCUUUUCCUUUGCAGUAACUAUGGUUUAAAUUCAUGUUUAAUUUGUGAAAAUACUGUCAUAAGGUAUUUUGGCUUUAAUACAGCAAGGAACACAAAUCCUACAUUUGUAGGAGAAUAUUUUGUAUUUGGCUUGGCAAAAAUAGCUGCAUGGAAACUGUGGUCCUGGAUUUUAAUGAACCUUGUUGUUAAUGACAACUACUUAAUAUUUUACUCGUAUAUUCUUUUGGGUUCAUUUAAACUGCAGCUCGCCUAAGCACUGCAGAAAGACAUAAUAUGAUAAAUUAGGCUAAGUCAAAGAGGAGAAAUUAUUUUAAAUGAAUACAAACAUCUAAUUUGUCUGGGCUUCUAAUGAAUUGAAAUGCCAAUAUUACUAGAGUUGACAGCAAUGUAUAUUCUAUUAAA